This 467-nucleotide ribosomal RNA is filed under the name uncultured bacterium. RNAcentral's name for it is "bacterial SSU rRNA". It matches the Rfam family "Bacterial small subunit ribosomal RNA", at positions 325 to 793 of the family's 1533-position model. The record is from RNAcentral.
CACUGUCACUCCUACGGGGAGGCAGCAGUGAGGAAUAUUGGACAAUGGGCGGAAGCCUGAUCCAGCCAUGCCGCGUGCAGGAAGACUGCCCUAUGGGUUGUAAACUGCUUUAUACAGGAAGAAUAAGUCCGACGUGUCGGAUGAUGACGGUACUGUAAGAAUAAGGAUCGGCUAACUCCGUGCCAGCAGCCGCGGUAAUACGGAGGAUUCGAGCGUUAUCCGGAAUCAUUGGGUUAAAGGGUUCGUAGGCGGGUUUGUAAGUCAGGGGUGAAAGUUUACGGCUCAACCGUGAAAUUGCCUUUGAUACUGCAGAUCUUGAAUAUUUGUGAAGUAACUAGAAUAUGUGGUGUAGCGGUGAAAUGCAUAGAUAUCACAUGGAAUACCGAUUGCGAAGGCAGGUUACUAACAGAUUAUUGACGCUGAUGGACGAAAGCGUGGGUAGCGAACAGGAUUAGAUACCCUGGUAG